RNAcentral lists this microRNA (21 nucleotides) under Populus trichocarpa (black cottonwood). RNAcentral's name for it is "ptc-miR172b-5p". Its record names the gene ptc-miR172b-5p. RNAcentral also lists the same sequence under 5 other names. Lineage: Eukaryota; Viridiplantae; Streptophyta; Magnoliopsida; Malpighiales; Salicaceae. The record is from miRBase by way of RNAcentral.
GGAGCAUCAUCAAGAUUCACA